Long non-coding RNA from Spodoptera frugiperda (fall armyworm), 418 nucleotides. RefSeq lists it as uncharacterized. The record is from RefSeq and is a predicted model, not a curated record. The transcript has 2 exons. Lineage: Eukaryota; Metazoa; Arthropoda; Insecta; Lepidoptera; Noctuidae.
CGGUGUUAGUCACAAGCUCCUUGCGAUGUAUAUAAGAUGGUGAAGGCGAUGUAAGGCCAUCAUUCGAGUGAAGUGUAGCAACACACAUCAACAUGAAACUGUUCAACCUGCUGGUGCUGGUCCUCGCGGUGGUCGCCAUGUUGAUGGGCGGCGCCAGCGCACACCCCAAGGGCGCGGGGGGCGGCUUGAGGAAAGGAUUUAAAGCUAUUAAAGCUGGAAUCGGAGCUAUUGGUGCCAUUGGUACAGGCCACGAGAUUUAUCAAAGUGUCAAAAACAGAGGAUGAGCACUCCAAAUUUAAACAACAUACCUCCAUAGAGCUAUUAUUGUGAUAUCUAAAUGUAGACCCUUAAAAUAACUUUUUAAUCACUGUUAAACUUUUGAAAUAUUAAUUAAAUAAAUUUAUUAAUUUUAAAGAAA